CCUACGGGAGGCAGCAGUGAGGAAUAUUGGUCAAUGGGCGGGAGCCUGAACCAGCCAAGUCGCGUGAAGGAAGAAGGUACUUCGUAUUGUAAACUUCUUUUGUCGGGGAACAAAGUCGGAGACGCGUCUCCGGAUGAGUGUACCCUAAGAAAAAGCAUCGGCUAACUCCGUGCCAGCAGCCGCGGUAAUACGGAGGAUCCGAGCGUUAUCCGGAUUUAUUGGGUUUAAAGGGUGCGCAGGGGGGGGUUCAAGGCAGCGGUAAAAUUUUGGGGCUCAACCCAGGCCGGCCGUUGAUACUGGUUGUCUAGAGUGCGGGAGAGGUAGGCGGAAUUCGUGGUGUAGCGGUGAAAUGCAUAGAUAUCACGAAGAACUCCGAUUGCGAAGGCAGCAUACCGGCUCGAAACUGACGCUGAGGCACGAAAGCGUGGGGAUCGAACAGGAUUAGAUACCCGAGUAGUC
Molecule: ribosomal RNA, 459 nt
Filed under: uncultured bacterium
Lineage: Bacteria
Description: partial 16S ribosomal RNA
Rfam family: Bacterial small subunit ribosomal RNA
Source: RNAcentral